This 778-nucleotide unclassified non-coding RNA is filed under the name Hevea brasiliensis (rubber tree). Lineage: Eukaryota; Viridiplantae; Streptophyta; Magnoliopsida; Malpighiales; Euphorbiaceae. The record is from RNAcentral.
GUGCGACCAGUGAAACCUGAAAUAAUUCUGAUGAUAUUAUUUUUGUUAUGCAUAAUUUCCCGCGCUUGAAUCUCCACAUCUAUUGCUUGCCCACUAGCGCCUCCAAGAGGCUGAUGAAUCAUGAUCCUUGCGUUUGGCAUUGCAAAGCGUUUGCCUUUUGUGCCACCACCAAGGAUUAUAGAAGCUGUUGAUGCUGAGAUGCCAAGGGCAAUUGUGGAAACAUCAGCUCUCACAAGUUGCAACACGUCAUAGAUUGCCAUUGUAGCACUGAGAGAGCCUCCAGGACAAUUGAUAAAGAGGCGGAUAUCUUUAGUUGGGUCUUGAGCAUCCAAAAGCAACAAUUGACUGAGAAUAGCAUCAGCCACGAAGUCAUCAAUAUUGUUCCCCAAGAACACAAUCCUCUCCCUCAGCAGAAGCCCCAUGGCAUCGGCCUCCGCUCCCCUCAUGGCGGUGCCUGGUGUCUGGGGAGCCGAGAAUUGGGGAGUUAGGGUUUUGGAAGAUUGAAGGGAGGUUUUGCGAGAUGGGAAAUUUUUUAUGGGAGAAGAGAUUGGAUUGAAAGUGAAAGGAAGAGGAUGGGAUUUAGAAGAACGGAGAGAGGGUCUAAGAGAGGAAGCUAAACGUGGGGUUGCUGGUGAAGAAAGCAAGAGCACGUCCAUGGCUUACACUCUUAGCAACUAUCUAUCAGUUUGCGAACAAGAGAAGAAGAGAAAUACAUGCAAUCUAGUUUCUGCUGGGGUAACACAGAAUCUAGGCCAGGGUUUGCAUUAGAGGAAUUACC